RNAcentral lists this ribosomal RNA (460 nucleotides) under uncultured bacterium. RNAcentral's name for it is "partial 16S ribosomal RNA". It matches the Rfam family "Bacterial small subunit ribosomal RNA", at positions 338 to 795 of the family's 1533-position model. The record is from RNAcentral.
CCUACGGGAGGCAGCAGUGAGGAAUAUUGGUCAAUGGGCGCGAGCCUGAACCAGCCAAGUAGCGUGAAGGAUGACUGCUCUACGGGUUGUAAACUUCUUUUAUAAAGGAAUAAAGUGAGGCACGUGUGCCUUUUUGUAUGUACUUUAUGAAUAAGGAUCGGCUAACUCCGUGCCAGCAGCCGCGGUAAUACGGAGGAUCCGAGCGUUAUCCGGAUUUGUUGGGUUUAAAGGGAGCGUAGAGGGGUUGUUAAGUCAGUUGUGAAAGUUUGGGGCUCAAUCGUAAAAUUGCAAUGGAUACUGGCAGACUUGAGUACAGUUGAGGAGAGCGGAAUUCGUGGUGUAGCGGUGAAAUGCUUAGAUAUCUCGAAGAACUCCGAUGGCGAAGGCAGCUUACUAAACUGCCACUGACAUUGAUGCUCGAAAGUGUGGGUAGCAAACAGGAUUAGAUACCCGAGUAGUC